Molecule: long non-coding RNA, 939 nt
Organism: Harpegnathos saltator (Jerdon's jumping ant)
Lineage: Eukaryota; Metazoa; Arthropoda; Insecta; Hymenoptera; Formicidae
Exons: 2
Source: RefSeq, a predicted model, not a curated record
AUAACCAAAUCUGUCCGAAACAGAUUUUGCCAGACGCCUGCUGCAGGAGUUGAUGACAAACUGAUGUCAAAAUUAAUACAGAUUCUGCAAUAUCAGAUGAUAUCGGCAGAAUGCCAGCAGCAUUGAGACAAAAUCUGAUAUAGAAGUUUGAUAUCAGAUUGAUGUCAACAUUUGAACAGAUUCCAUUAAACAGCCUGACGGCAGAUUGACGACAGAAAGGAAACAGAUCCUGCUGUGCGCAGUCUGACGGCAGAUUGGCGGCAGAAUUCAAACAAACGCGGUUUAAUACUAUGACGGCAGAUUGGCGGCAAAAACGUAUCAGAUCCUGACGUACACAGUCUGGCGGCAGAUUGACGGCAGAAAUACAGUAGAAUCUGCUGUGCGCAGUCUGGCACCAGAAUGAUGGCAGAAACGUAACAGAUCUUGCUGUUCACAGCCUGACAGCAGACUGACAAAACGAGACAGCCAAUCAGAUUCACAAUGGUGUUUACCGUAAAUGGCGGAACACGAAGGCGACGAUGUUUCUUUUCAUAGCCUCAGGAAGUGACGACACACGGUGACUUCGAGACGAUGUUGGAGUAACUGAUAAAAAGGUUUGUGAACGGUGAAGUGGCAAUUUGCUGCGAUAUCUGUAAUUUGAAAUUAUAUUACAGUUGCAUCUUUCUAACUAGUUAUGUAUAAGACUAGUUAUGUAUAAUAUAUGUUUAAGUAAAUACAUGAAUUAAAAGUUACAUUGUAUUAUUGUCAUAAUUUCCCACAGUAAAUACAAUACACGUAUCGUAUUCAUAGUGGCAUAGCAAAUUGUAGCAUCGAUACAUUGUAACUCUUAAUAAUUGUUGGGAUGAGACGGGAAAAUCAGAGAAAUCUGGAUAAAAAUACUUACCUGUGUGUCUUGCGUUCUUCGGUAAUAGAUUCGUCGAUCCUCCGUAACAUCCGAUC